GGUGCCGUAGCCUAGUGGUAAAGGCGAUAGACUAGAAAUAUUUUGGGAUAUUCCCGCGCACGUUCGAAUCCUGCCGACGACG
Molecule: transfer RNA, 82 nt
Filed under: Dreissena polymorpha
Lineage: Eukaryota; Metazoa; Mollusca; Bivalvia; Myida; Dreissenidae
Description: tRNA-Ser
Rfam family: tRNA
About the family: Transfer RNA (tRNA) molecules are approximately 80 nucleotides in length. Their secondary structure includes four short double-helical elements and three loops (D, anti-codon, and T loops).
Source: RNAcentral